RNAcentral lists this long non-coding RNA (329 nucleotides) under Lepisosteus oculatus (spotted gar). Its description in RNAcentral is "lncRNA (ENSLOCG00000022903.1)". Lineage: Eukaryota; Metazoa; Chordata; Actinopteri; Semionotiformes; Lepisosteidae. The record is from RNAcentral.
CUGGACCAGGCGGCCGGGAAGCUGGAGUUCUACGCCGUGUCGGAUGCCGGCUGCCUGACCCUCCUCCACAGGGUGCAGACGGUCUUCGCCGAGCCGGUGUACCCCGGGUUCUACCUGUCGGGGGGGUUCGACAUGAUGGAGCCUGGGUUCUACGGCUCCUCUGUGGAGCUCUGCGAGCCGUAACGCCCCCUGCCUGCCCACCCCAGUGCUGGCUCGGUCUCCAGGGACGCCGGCUCUGUGCAGCUUCCAGCUCUGUCGCUCUGUGAGCGUCCUGGAGAGAGAGGGGGGUUAAUACACACACACACUGACUGACUGGACACUCCAGUACA